GUGAGGAAGCGUACAGGAGUCUGGCUGCCACUGAUAUUAUAUUAAAGGGCCGCGGUAUUUUGACCGUGCGAAGGUAGCAUAAUCAUUAGUCUUUUAAUUGGAGGCUUGUAUGAAUGGUUGGACAAAAAGUUAACUGUCUCAUUUAUAAAAAUUGAAUUUAACUUUUAAGUGAAAAGGCUUAAAUGAACUGAGGGGACGAUAAGACCCUAUAAAGCUUUACAAUAAGUUAAUUAAAUUAUAAAUUAUUAGUUUAACUUAAUUUAAUUAGUGUUUGUUUCGUUGGGGCGACGAGAAUAUAAAUUAUAUAACUGUUCUUUUAAAGUAAAUAACAAGAUUAAUUGGAGGAAGAUUGAUCCUUUAAUAAAGAUUAAAAGAUUAAGUUACUUUAGGGAUAACAGCGUAAUCUUCUUUGAGAGUCCAUAUCGACAAGAAGGGUUGCGACCUCGAUGUUGAAUUAAGGUACCCUUAUGAUGCAGCAGUUAUAAAGGGAGGUCUGUUCGACCUUUAAAUCCUUACGUGAUCUGAUUCAGACCGGA
Molecule: ribosomal RNA, 536 nt
Filed under: Solenocera melantho
Lineage: Eukaryota; Metazoa; Arthropoda; Malacostraca; Decapoda; Solenoceridae
Description: partial 16S ribosomal RNA
Rfam family: Bacterial large subunit ribosomal RNA
Source: RNAcentral